Molecule: ribosomal RNA, 520 nt
Filed under: uncultured archaeon
Lineage: Archaea
Description: bacterial SSU rRNA
Rfam family: Archaeal small subunit ribosomal RNA
Source: RNAcentral
ACGGGGUGCAGCAGGCGCGAAACCUCCACAAUGCGCGAAAGCGUGAUGGGGUUAUCCCGAGUGCCGUCCGAUGAGGAUGGCUUUUUAUCGAUGUAAGGAUUCGAUAGAAUAAAGGGGGGGCAAGACUGGUGUCAGCCGCCGCGGUAAUACCAGCCCCCUGAGUGGUAAGGACGAUUAUUUGGCCUAAAGCGUUCGUAGCCGGCUUAUCAAGUCUUUUGUUAAAUCCAACGAUUCAAUCGUUGGGCCGCAAAAGAUACUGUUAUGCUAGAGGACGGGAGAGGUCGACGGUAGUCCAGGGGUAGGGGUGAAAUCCUAUAAUCCUUGGAGGACCACCAGUGGCGAAGGCGGUCGACUAGAACGUGCCUGACGGUGAGGGACGAAAGCUGGGGGAGCGAACCGGAUUAGAUACCCGGGUAGUCCCAGCUGUAAACGAUGCGGGCUAGGUGUUGGGGCAGCCACGAGCUGCUCCAGUGCCGCAGAGAAGUUGUUAAGCCCGCCGCCUGGGAGUACGCCGCAAGGC